GAGCUUAAUCAACAUGUCUGUUUCAUCUCCAUACAGUUCUAUUUUGUUUCCAUGUGUCUGUGUGAUCAUCUAAUUUUUCUUAUACGUGGCUUCCAUUCUUGAGCUUUAUCCCUAUAAGCUUUCACGAAGAUCUCUACAGAUAAAGUCCAACUGCAACCCAGAUAGAACAACCCCUCCAUGUAAUACUCUUAAGCUGUGCAAAUCAAAAUUCUCAGAGCUGGCUUUUACAAGGCAUGCAUAAGUGAAGUUAUCAGGCUUUCAGAAUGAAGCACAUCAUUAAACAGCGAAAAUGCAUUUCUAAAUUUGUGGGCUCUAGCAUAACCUCAAAUUAAGGAGUUCCAGAGGUAAAUGGUUCGGUGCGGAGUUUUAUCAAAAAGUUUGUGUGCCGAGAUGACGUCGUUGUUUAGAGCAUUAAGUGUGAAGGUACUUUUGCUGGAAUUAACACCAUUUGACUUCCCCUAAAGUUCUAAGGGUAUCUCCAUACCUUCAAAAUUCACAACCAAGAAUUGGAGUUGGAUGGGGUGGAUGGAGCAUUAACCAAACAUUUUUGAAACCUCCCAUGAACAUAUGAAAGGCGUUAAGACAGCCAAAGGUAUCAUUGCUGAAAAUAUUGAUUCAGGAAGACAUUGAUCCCUUUGUAGUUAUAUACGACCUGUUGAUAAAUGGGUGUUGUUUGCUAGGAUGUAUGCAUGAAACAAAAGAAAUAUGUUUCCAUUAUCAAAGGAAGAAAGUAGCCUACAUAGUUAUGAGUUUGUAAGUAGCCUAUGUAGUUAUGAGUUUGUAAGUACUCUUUACAUGUAAGAUGAAGCUAUUUCCUAGCUCAGUGCAAAUCAUAUAUGAACUUGCUACAAAACUGAACAAAGCAUAGAGAUGAAAUAAUUGUGGUUGUGAA
This is a long non-coding RNA of Solanum lycopersicum (tomato), 892 nucleotides long. RefSeq lists it as uncharacterized. The record is from RefSeq and is a predicted model, not a curated record. NCBI's taxonomy places the organism in Eukaryota, Viridiplantae, Streptophyta, Magnoliopsida, Solanales, Solanaceae.